Molecule: long non-coding RNA, 505 nt
Organism: Numida meleagris (helmeted guineafowl)
Lineage: Eukaryota; Metazoa; Chordata; Aves; Galliformes; Numididae
Exons: 3
Source: RefSeq, a predicted model, not a curated record
UCUGGAGAUCCCUCCUUGGUGGAAUCUUUUCCCUGCAAACCCAGAAUCUUCUGAUAUGGGGGCAGACUGUGACAUAACCAAAUGGAAGCUGAGAUCCCAUCCUCCCACAUCAGUUGUAAUGAGACUCAGCGACAGAAGCACUAAUAAAACCUAAGCCAAAUUCCCUUAUACAACUUCAUCUUCGAGUUCACCUCCACUUCUCUGGGUAAGGAAUAAUUCAAGCUUCUUAGAGAAGACAAUCCCACCCACUGAAGUCUGAUAAGACUUUUUACACUACGUACCUGAAGACUAAUCAGUUCACAAGGAACUCUUUUGACUUCAAGUUGUUUAUCACAAUCUCAUGAAGCAUAUUCUAGGCAGCCAAGGAGUCCCAACACAUCUGAGAACUCUGAAAAUUAAAAAAGAUUAAUGUGAAACAGAACUAGAUAACAUGAUCAUCAGAUGCUUGUUCAAAUCCUACAAGCUUCUUUGAAUGCAAUAAAGUCAAUUCACUUUCUGAAGUUCA